AACGAACGCUGGCGGCAGGCCUAACACAUGCAAGUCGAACGCCGUAGCAAUACGGAGUGGCAGACGGGUGAGUAACGCGUGGGAACAUACCCUCCGGUUCGGAAUAACUCAGGGAAACUUGAGCUAAUACCGGAUACGUCCAAGGUUUUAAUCGGCCUUGGAGAAAGAUUUAUCGCCGGAGGAUUGGCCCGCGUCUGAUUAGCUUGUUGGUGAGGUAAUGGCUCACCAAGGCGACGAUCAGAGCUGGUCUGAGAGGAUGAUCAGCCACAUUGGGACUGAGACACGGCCCAAACUCCUACGGGAGGCAGCAGUGGGGAAUAUUGGACAAUGGGCGCAAGCCUGAUCCAGCCAUGCCGCGUGAGUGAUGAAGGCCUUAGGGUUGUAAAGCUCUUUUACCCGGGAAGAUAAUGACGGUACCGGGAGAAUAAGCCCCGGCUAACUUCGUGCCAGCCGCCGCCGUAAC
This 463-nucleotide ribosomal RNA is filed under the name uncultured bacterium. RNAcentral's name for it is "bacterial SSU rRNA". It matches the Rfam family "Bacterial small subunit ribosomal RNA", at positions 29 to 524 of the family's 1533-position model. The record is from RNAcentral.